Molecule: long non-coding RNA, 579 nt
Filed under: Betta splendens (Siamese fighting fish)
Lineage: Eukaryota; Metazoa; Chordata; Actinopteri; Anabantiformes; Osphronemidae
Description: lncRNA (ENSBSLG00000025245.1)
Source: RNAcentral
CAGGAAGGCGCGCUCCACAUGGCGUCCGACGGAGAGGAGCGGAGGCUUUGCCUGAUGGCUCGCCGGUUUGCGAUAAUAGUCUGCGUUUCGAUGAUAAUUGGCACCGCAGCAAAGCCAUACGGACCCUCGGAUAGGAAGGUAGAAGUGGAGCCUCCAGAGAACAAAGCUGAUGCUCCGUAUCACAUUGACCCCAACAUGAAGAUUUGGAUGACAGCCCCAGAGCAAGCAGAGCCGGUCUGGGAUGGCGUCUACCAUAAAGCACGUUAUCAGCUGGACCCACUGAUCGCUGAGGCAGAGCCGCGCGCUGCACACUCAGCACCGGAGGCGGACAAGGACGACCUGUAUCACCGUGACGACCAGCUCUACCUGCAGCCAGCUCCACCUGUGCAGAUGGAGCCGCCGAGAGGCGAAGCCAGGCGUCACCUUCAGCCAGAGGAGGACAAGGACGCUCUGUACCACAGAGACGUCCCCGAGCUCGAGCCCCAGGACGAGCCCAAAGCUGACGGUGUGCUUUUUUCAGCAUCCCAGAGGAAGUACAGUGAACCAGAAGAGGAUCGGGACGGUCUCUACCACCAGUGA